Molecule: non-coding RNA, 274 nt
Organism: Python bivittatus (Burmese python)
Lineage: Eukaryota; Metazoa; Chordata; Lepidosauria; Squamata; Pythonidae
Source: RefSeq, a predicted model, not a curated record
CACUCUCCUCCCGCCUCUGCAGCAUCCGGCUGGUCUCCCUGGCGGCCCAGAAGUUCAUCUCCGACGUGGCCAACGACGCCCUGCAGCACUGCAAGAUGAAGGGCACCGCGUCCGGGAGCUCUCGCAACAAGAGCAAGGACAAGAAGCACACCCUGACCAUGGAGGACCUGGCCCCUGCGCUGGCUGAGUAUGGCAUCAACGUGAAAAAGCCUCACUAUUUCACCUGAAGGCCUCCCCCCCACCCCCGUUCCCCAUUAAAGUCUGUGUCUCUUGG